GGUGGAGUCACCAUCCCUGGAGGUCUUUAAAAGACGUUUAGAUGUAGAGCUUAGGGAUAUGGUUUAGUGGAGUACUUAGUGUUAGGUCGGAGGUUGGACUCGAUGAUCUUGAGGUCUCUUCCAACCUAGAGAAAUCUGUGAAUCUGUGAAGAUGACUUGUUAAAAUACAGGCACCAAUUUCUCUGCUUCUGGUGUUCACUAAAGCUCAGACACUGGGAUUUCAUUGCUGGGCAAAUCCAGGAACAUUGGUAAUUUUGUGGCUCAAGUAAGUACAAAAUGUCAUUAAACCAUUUAUACUGGUUUACUGGUUGGUUAGUACAUACAAAAUUGCUGUGAGUAGGUGGAGCUGUUAGCUAUAUAACAGGAUGACAGAUUCCUUUUUCAACCCUGUUACAGUACAGUAGAGACCAACACCCGAAGUGCUUCAUGUUAAGUCUUCUGAGCAGUGUGGACAACACAGAUCUUGGAUGAGCAAGUAGAAAUAGUUUGGUAUCACUGAUAUGACAGAGUCUGGAAAAGAGAAGAUCCCACACAUGAAUAUACAAGACCUGAUUCUUUCUGCAUUUGUGCCCAACACAGUCUCCAUUAACAUCAGAGACCACAGACUGACAUCUGUGUGAAUGACAUGAUAACCAAGACAGUAAAAAUGGUUGGGACUUCCCAUCUCUAAAUAGGCUGAUUUUUCAAACUGGAAGCAAAUUUGAAGUACAGCAGCCUUCUGCAAUGCCUUGACCUGCCCAUUCAAUGUGUCCAAGCAUUACAUGUUAGCUUCGAAGCUGUAUCUGGGGUGGCAGCUGCAGCAGACCCUGCUGGCAUAACCUCAGGCACCACCAUGGCACAGUCAAAGUGGGUUGAUACCAACACUGACAGCCCGGAUCUCAGCAUGAGCUCAUUCAGCCACCUUCUUGGGAAAGCACUGGCUGAGUCCAGCAUUUUCCUGAGGAGGUCGGUGGACUUUAUAAGAGUGUCUGAAUGCUGCUCAGAAAAUAAUGACGGUAAGCCAAGAAGAGGUGGAAAUACCUGACUGUGAGAAGUGAUCUAUGAGAAAAAAAUCUGCUCUACAGCUGGAGUGAGUUCUAUGGUUGGUACGGGAAAAAAAAAUCAUGGAUGGGUCCGAAACCAUUGAGGGAAGAAUGUAGUUCACUUUAGAAUGGACUUUUGGUUGUAAUCCUAAAUCUGUUGAAGUCUAUAGAAGGAUUUGUAUUGGCUUCAAAGGAUAUUGAGCUGUGGCGUGGUUCCUGAGCUGCCUUUGGGUUACAGGAUCACAGGAAUAUAUGACAAGAUUUCAACCAUCUGCUGAAAUCAUUGAUUGAAUAGAACAGUCAAG
This 1327-nucleotide long non-coding RNA is filed under the name Anser brachyrhynchus (Pink-footed goose). Its description in RNAcentral is "lncRNA (ENSABRG00000004501.1)". The record is from RNAcentral. Lineage: Eukaryota; Metazoa; Chordata; Aves; Anseriformes; Anatidae.